Molecule: long non-coding RNA, 439 nt
Filed under: Pan troglodytes (chimpanzee)
Lineage: Eukaryota; Metazoa; Chordata; Mammalia; Primates; Hominidae
Description: long non-coding RNA NONPTRT013410
Source: RNAcentral
UAUAGUAAGAACCCUGGGUGUCUUUCUGCUCUUUUUUUUUUUAAUAAUGACUUUAUUGAUAUAUAAUUAUUUAACAUCCAUCCAUAAUAAAAAAAAAGUCAACAAACUAGGUGUAGAAGAAACAAUCCUCAACAAAAGUUGUAUAUGAAAGACCUACAGCUAGUAUCAAACAGAAUGGGGAAAAACUGAAAGUCUUUUCUCUAAUAUCUGGAACACAGUAAGGAUGUCCACUGUCACCACUGUUAUUCAACAAGCAUAUAAUUUUGAUUUUUAAUGCAUGUAGUUAAACAUAUGUUGGUUGCAUAAAUAUAGGUAACACUUAUCUCCAGCAAUAAGUAAUCUAGUUGGAUCACUUACUAAGCUUUGAGUUUAUGUCGUAGAAACUUACAAAAUUAUUGCACUUCAUAUUGAGUUAAUGAUUUUCUUUUCUCUGAACACA